UAGUCGUAACAAGGUUUCCGUAGGUGAACCUGCGGAAGGAUCAUUAACCUUUCAAAUCAGGGUGCGGCGCGGCCCCGAGAGAGAAACACCUUGGGAGGUAUGCGGGGGCUUCGAGCCCCAUCCAUUCGCACGCACGACUGCCAUCCUUACUUUACGAGCACCUUCUGUUCUCCCUCGGCGGGGCAACCUGCCGUUGGAACCGAAUAAACUCUUUUUGCAUCUAGCAUUACCUGUUCCGAAACAAACAAUCGUUACAA
Molecule: unclassified non-coding RNA, 257 nt
Filed under: plant metagenome
Description: partial contains small subunit ribosomal RNA and internal transcribed spacer 1
Rfam family: Eukaryotic small subunit ribosomal RNA (bases 1-46)
Source: RNAcentral